GAUGAAGAACGCAGCGAAAUGCGAUAAGUAAUGUGAAUUGCAGAAUUCAGUGAAUCAUCGAAUCUUUGAACGCACCUUGCGCCCUUUGGCUAUUCUGAAGGGCAUGCCUGUUUGAGUAUCAUGAACACCUCAACUCUCAUGGUUUGCCAUGAUGAGCUUGGACUUUGGGGGUCUUGCUGGCCUACGGUCGGCUCCUCUCAAAUGAAUCAGCUUGCCAGUGUUUGUUGGCAUCACGGGUGUGAUAACUAUCUACGCUUGUGGUUUCCCGCCAGGUAACCUUCAGUGAUGGAGGUUCGCUGGGGCUCAUAAAUGUCCCUCCACAGUGAGGACAGCUUUUGAACGUUUGAUCUCAAAUCAGGUAGGACUACCCGCUGAACUUAAGCAUAUCAAUAAGCGGAGGA
Molecule: unclassified non-coding RNA, 401 nt
Filed under: soil metagenome
Description: partial contains 5.8S ribosomal RNA, internal transcribed spacer 2, and large subunit ribosomal RNA
Rfam family: 5.8S ribosomal RNA (bases 1-121)
Source: RNAcentral